GUUAGGGUUGUUUCUCCUGGUCCAGACAGAGAGGCUGUUGUGUUAAUUGGGUCCAUGUGGUCUGUUAGGGUUGUUUCUCCUGGUCCAGACAGAGAGGCUGUAGUGUCAUUUGGGUCCAUGUGGUCUGUUAGGGUUGUUUCUCCUGGUCCAGACAGAGAGGCUGUAGUGUUAAUUGGGUCCAUGUGGUCUGUUAGGGUUGUUUCUCCUGGUCCAGACAGAGAGGCUGUAGUGUUAAUUGGG
Molecule: long non-coding RNA, 240 nt
Organism: Oncorhynchus keta (chum salmon)
Lineage: Eukaryota; Metazoa; Chordata; Actinopteri; Salmoniformes; Salmonidae
Exons: 3
Source: RefSeq, a predicted model, not a curated record